UGGAGAACCACAAUCUGUUCCAGUGAGACUGUUGCUUCCAUGCAUAAGAAAGGAAGAACAUGACCUUUGUCAGACCUGAAACCAAAGACUGUCCAGGAUUUUCAGGUCAUUUAGGAAGAAGACUGGCUUUUAACCAGAGGCAGUCAUGUCUAGCAUCCUGCAGGAGUUGAAAACCUACUGUAGCCUUAAGUUGUUCUGAGGACACAAAGUCCUCAUCCAGAAUCAGAAGUCAUGGCUUGCAUUACAAGAGUACAGGAGAACUGGCAAGAAACACAGAGCCCAUGAGAACAAACUAGCAGCACAAUGGAUUUGUAAUAUUUAAUCAAAUUCUUGAUGAUCACAAAUCUUGCAACACAUUCCAAAACUACUAAAAACGCUAUACAGAAACCA
Non-coding RNA from Taeniopygia guttata (zebra finch), 390 nucleotides. NCBI's taxonomy places the organism in Eukaryota, Metazoa, Chordata, Aves, Passeriformes, Estrildidae. The record is from RefSeq and is a predicted model, not a curated record.